CCUGUCCGUACACCUUCGGCAUGGAAGAUUCACUGGUGCUCCUCCGGUUUCGCUUUGGCGGAAGGGCGCCGUAGUCCGACCCGCCUUCAGCAGCACCAAGAGGGGCCAGUCGUAGAGCUGAAUCCUCGCUGCCCCCUCCAUCUGCGUCUGGUUAGGUAAACGCCAGCCAAGAGCUCCUUCUACAGGCUGCGAUGGGCCCAGUGUUGCAUUCAGGAACUGUGGGUAGUUUAGAAAAAAAUCCACCUUCUACAGAUAGACCUGGUUCAUGCCCUGCGCUUUACUCUUUUUGUUUCACUUAAUAAAGUGUGCUCCAUGAUCAAUGAUCAAA
Molecule: long non-coding RNA, 328 nt
Organism: Hippocampus zosterae (dwarf seahorse)
Lineage: Eukaryota; Metazoa; Chordata; Actinopteri; Syngnathiformes; Syngnathidae
Exons: 2
Source: RefSeq, a predicted model, not a curated record